UGCCUUUUAAACACAAAGGAUCCUGAUGUGCCAAAACAUACGUUGGUAAGACCAGAUUUGCUUGAAGCCGGUCUUUUUCUCGAACCUGCCUUUGAAAAAGGUGUUUCAGAGUAGAGAGAGCCUCUCAGGUUUUGUUGGGACAGUGACUGCACCAAUUCCUUUUACAAUAUUGCGGAACAGAAAGGAACUGGUGUCAAUUCCUGAUAUUUUUCCCACUUGGUGUCUGAUUUUCUCUGUACUUCACUUUCUACAGAGUUCCAGAGCCAACAUCAUCUCUACCAGCUCCGAAAUCUCUGCAUUUCUUUGCUGCGCAGCGGAGGCAUGCCCCUGCAUUCCUAUGGGCAGAAUUUGCCUUCAGUCAGUAAUUCUUUGGAGCCAAGUUUGGACAUUAAAAUGAGCAGUGCAGGCAGAAGACAAAAAUGUCAAAGAUCACUCAGAUAAACUAAUGACCUGGCUCUGGACAGGGCCUCAGAAUUACACCAUUUUCCAGAGCUGAACAUGACAAUUACUUUGUGAUGCCUACCUGCAGCAGAAGAACAAGCCAAAAAGCACCAGCAGCAGGCAGACUCCUCCCAGCCGGGGGCUCAGCACAUCACCUCGGAGCCCGCGGGAGGUGGCUGCAGCGAUCCCGAGGAGCUUUCACACCCCGCAGGCACAUGCACACGCUCCUGCUGUUGCUGACACCAGGACAGCAUCUACCAGGCAUAGUCUGGUUUAUGCUGGCGCUUCGUGCAUCCAACUUAAAAAUAAAGGGACUUCACAAGCAGAAGGACUCCUUAUUUUCACUGGAAAAUACUCAGCAUCCUACAGGCCUGAGCAGUAGGCAGCAGGAAAGGAGGGUGAAGUUUGUCACAGCAGCUGUUGGUGUCUGGUCAGCAACCCCCAGCUGUGCUCUCCCCCCCGGGACACAGGGAUGGGCCCGACAGCGCGCCACGGAUCCCGACUCCUCCGCCUCGGCUCUGCCUGCUGGAGCGGCCGCGGCAUCCACAGCUCCCCACCGGAGGAAAAAGUGGGACUGGUGGAGACAAUCAUUGGAUUCUCAGCAUUUUCACUGGCAGUUCUUGGACCGGCUGGAUGGUUCCUGUACCACCUUCCAAGCUAUAAAGAGAAAUAGAAAACAUCCCUUCAAAAUUAAGAUCUGGAGGCUGCGAUAAGCCAUAAUACUCCUGACAUGGAAUCUCUAGAAAGGGAGCACGCAGGCAACUGAGGGCCGGUUUAAAACAAAAUGACUGAAAAUUGAGUUCAAGUUUUAUGUACGCCACAUUGCUUCUGUAUGAAAAAAGACCAGAUAGGGAACACGACUAACUAAAUCUCCAGUUCUGCAGAACUCAGUCUUUACACACUGGGAUUAGUCCUGUGGGACUGCUCACCGGUCAGAAACCUGUACUCGUUUGCAGAUAUUGUAGAACUGGACCCUGAUACAAAAUGGUACAGUGAUACAAAAUAGUGAUAGGUCUACUCUUCUGCCUUCUGCUAAACAAAUUGGAGAAAACACCACGAAAUCGUUUAUAUAUAUAUAUGUUUAUAUAUAUAUAUAUACGCUUUCAUUUAUACUCAUCUCAGAUGACAGCUCCAAGAGUUAAAGAUUGUUUCCUUGAAAGUUUUAUUUUUGACCUUUAGAUGCAUUCUUUUGGUGUCCUCCCACCUGAUUUGCUACAAGAAUAGAUGUUUUUCUGCUGGUCAUGAUUGUCAGAUGCUUGAAUCAGAUCUAAACUUGUGAUAUUUGAAAGAUUUUGCUAUGUUUUCCUGUUUAAAAUGAAUGCUAUGAUAAAUACUUUGAAAUCUAGACUAUGUAAUAAAAUAAAUAGUAUUUGUCA
This 1817-nucleotide long non-coding RNA is filed under the name Anser brachyrhynchus (Pink-footed goose). RNAcentral describes it as "lncRNA (ENSABRG00000005248.1)". Lineage: Eukaryota; Metazoa; Chordata; Aves; Anseriformes; Anatidae. The record is from RNAcentral.